AUGAAGGUCGAUGCUACUGAUCAUGCAAAUGCCCUAGAUAACGCCAUUGGUAAAGAAAGGUUAUUCUACAUAGGAAUGAAUACUGAUUUGGCUGCCAAGUACCCUAUAAAAUAUGUCCUAAAGAAAAGUUUCUCUGUCGACAAUAAUAAUUCAGUGCCUCUAUUACCACCAGCAAAGGUUAGCAACUUUUUACUAUUAUUCGCUUACUAUAUCACACUAUUUAUACUUAGCACGACAAACUUUUCAGACAGCCCAACAGACAAACCUACUGCCCCCUCCAACUUCAUCCAACAUAGGUGCUCAAAGGUUACCAACCACUUAUCAAAUUUACUAUGA
This 336-nucleotide ribosomal RNA is filed under the name Triticum aestivum (bread wheat). Its description in RNAcentral is "partial small subunit ribosomal RNA". The record is from RNAcentral. Lineage: Eukaryota; Viridiplantae; Streptophyta; Magnoliopsida; Poales; Poaceae.